Molecule: unclassified non-coding RNA, 217 nt
Filed under: Melitaea cinxia (Glanville fritillary)
Lineage: Eukaryota; Metazoa; Arthropoda; Insecta; Lepidoptera; Nymphalidae
Description: misc RNA ENSMCXG00005008061.1
Source: RNAcentral
AAUCGAAAGGUGGUGUGUGUCAAUUGGUUCCACUUAAAUUUAUUUGAGAUCUAACAACUACUUUUUGAGUUAUAUCUAAUAAUGCGUUUUUACUUGACGCUUUUUUCGUCGAUCUACGUUGUAUUAUACCGCAUAACUUUCUACUGGGUGUACCGAUUUUGAUAAUUCUUUUUUUGUUAGAAAGAAGAUAUCCCUAGUUUAGUACCAUGAUAAGGAA